UGGGGAAUUUUGGACAAUGGGGGAAACCCUGAUCCAGCCAUCCCGCGUGUGCGAUGAAGGCCUUCGGGUUGUAAAGCACUUUUGGCAGGAAAGAAACGUCGCGGGUUAAUACCCCACGAAACUGACGGUACCUGCAGAAUAAGCACCGGCUAACUACGUGCCAGCAGCCGCGGUAAUACGUAGGGUGCAAGCGUUAAUCGGAAUUACUGGGCGUAAAGCGUGCGCAGGCGGUUCGGAAAGAAAGAUGUGAAAUCCCAGAGCUUAACUUUGGAACUGCAUUUUUAACUACCGGGCUAGAGUGUGUCAGAGGGAGGUGGAAUUCCGCGUGUAGCAGUGAAAUGCGUAGAUAUGCGGAGGAACACCGAUGGCGAAGGCAGCCUCCUGGGAUAACACUGACGCUCAUGCACGAAAGCGUGGGGAGCAAACAGGAUUAGAUACCCUGGUAGUCCACGCCCUAAACGAUGUCAACUAGCUGUUGGGGCCUUCGGGCCUUGGUAGCGCAGCUAACGCGUGAAGUUGACCGCCUGGGGAGUACGGUCGCAAGAUUAAAACUUAAAUGAAUUGAC
This 566-nucleotide ribosomal RNA is filed under the name uncultured bacterium. Its description in RNAcentral is "partial 16S ribosomal RNA". It matches the Rfam family "Bacterial small subunit ribosomal RNA", at positions 355 to 914 of the family's 1533-position model. The record is from RNAcentral.